CAGUGAUUUCAGCUCUUUUAGAAUUUGUCCAGUAAGGUUUCCCGCGCCCGCGGGAAGCCGCC
This 62-nucleotide small nuclear RNA is filed under the name Parus major (Great Tit). Its description in RNAcentral is "U7 small nuclear RNA (ENSPMJG00000007249.1)". It matches the Rfam family "U7 small nuclear RNA". Rfam says of the family: Animal histone pre-mRNAs are spliced by a different mechanism than nuclear pre-mRNAs and self-splicing introns. This processing involves the U7 snRNP, which contains only one RNA species: U7. The record is from RNAcentral. RNAcentral also lists the same sequence under 1 other name. Lineage: Eukaryota; Metazoa; Chordata; Aves; Passeriformes; Paridae.